Molecule: transfer RNA, 75 nt
Filed under: Candidatus Hakubella thermalkaliphila
Lineage: Bacteria; Bacillati; Actinomycetota; Candidatus Hakubellales; Candidatus Hakubellaceae
Description: Candidatus Hakubanella thermoalkaliphilus tRNA-Asp
Source: RNAcentral
CGGAGCCGACGGGAUUCGAACCCGCGAUCUCUGCCUUGACAGGGCAGUGUGUUCACCAGGCUACACCACGGCUCC